UGGGGAAUAUUGGACAAUGGGCGCAAGCCUGAUCCAGCCAUGCCGCGUGUGUGAAGAAGGCCUUAUGGUUGUAAAGCACUUUAAGCGAGGAGGAGGCUACUUUAGUUAAUACCUAGAGAUAGUGGACGUUACUCGCAGAAUAAGCACCGGCUAACUCUGUGCCAGCAGCCGCGGUAAUACAGAGGGUGCGAGCGUUAAUCGGAUUUACUGGGCGUAAAGCGUGCGUAGGCGGCUAAUUGAGUCGGAUGUGAAAUCCCCGAGCUUAACUUGGGAAUUGCAUUCGAUACUGGUUAGCUAGGGUGUGGGAGAGGAUGGUAGAAUUCCAGGUGUAGCGGUGAAAUGCGUAGAGAUCUGGAGGAAUACCGAUGGCGAAGGCAGCCAUCUGGCCUAACACUGACGCUGAGGUACGAAAGCAUGGGGAGCAAACAGG
This 430-nucleotide ribosomal RNA is filed under the name Pseudomonadota bacterium. RNAcentral's name for it is "Proteobacteria bacterium partial 16S ribosomal RNA". It matches the Rfam family "Bacterial small subunit ribosomal RNA", at positions 355 to 776 of the family's 1533-position model. Lineage: Bacteria; Pseudomonadati; Pseudomonadota. The record is from RNAcentral.